UGCUACGGCCAUGCCACCCUGAACAAGCCAGAUCCCAUCUGAUCUUGAAAGCUAAGCAGGGUCAGGCCUGGUUAGUACUUCAAUGGGAGACCACCUAGGAAGACAAGGUAGGCAUAAAAA
RNAcentral lists this ribosomal RNA (120 nucleotides) under Pteropus alecto (black flying fox). Lineage: Eukaryota; Metazoa; Chordata; Mammalia; Chiroptera; Pteropodidae. The record is from RNAcentral.